CAACAAAGGCCCUUAAUGAUAAGCCGGAGCCUGCGUUCCACUGGGCCCCCAAGAUCUCGCGAGAUUUCAGGGCGCCCGGCUUCCCUCAGUGGGAAGGUUUUAACACCUCAUCUUUACUUCCCGGCUGCCGAAUCCCCACUUGUGCUGCUCUUUAGCUGGGAAGGGUUUCCUCUCCGCAGAGGAUGUGGGUAGACAAUGACAAGCUGGGGUGUAUGCUGCUGAAACCACUGCUGUGUGUGAAAGAAUGAGCAACUGAUCCUGAAUUUUGGUUGUUAGACUCAGAAUGGAUCUUUGCUAAACCCAAAGCUUGAGAAAAAUGCACUGUACUGGGACCUGAAACUCUGGAAGAAAUCAAGCGACAUACUGCCUCUGUAGUCAUGGAACUACAGGCUGGGGAAAUCCCUGAUAUGACUCAUGUGGUUAAGUAUAUAAAUAAUGAUGAAUGCCUCAAGACUGAAAGAAGACUCCAUUGAAUCUUUAAAGAAUCUUAGCAUCAAAAGCAGAAGGAUUUAGGAAAGCCAAGAUAUGAUGGUUAAUUUUGUCUGUCAGCUUACCUGGACCACGGAGUACCCAGUAUUUGGUGAAACAUCAUUCUGAGUGUGUGUGUUUUGGAGUGAGCAUAAUUCUUGAAUCUGUAGACUGAGUAAAAAAAAAAAACAAAAAAACCCGCCCUCCCUAAUGUGGUUGGCCCUCAGCCAAUGAGUUGAAGAUCCAAAUAGAGCAAAAUAGCAUACUCUCUUUCAGGGAACCCUGCCAAAUAUGCAAGUCAUCAAAACAAACCAAAUAUUACCUCCAGGAAUUUUUCUGUGAAUCAUCAAUGGAUUCAAGACUUGGUUGAAUUCUCCUCUUCUGGACUCCAAUAAUACCUUGUCAGUUUAGUCCUUUAAAGCUUUAGUCUUUUUUCAAAAUUUCAGUUAGUAUUAUAUUCCAGAGAUAGCAG
Molecule: long non-coding RNA, 940 nt
Filed under: Heterocephalus glaber (naked mole-rat)
Lineage: Eukaryota; Metazoa; Chordata; Mammalia; Rodentia; Bathyergidae
Description: lncRNA (ENSHGLG00000049971.1)
Source: RNAcentral